UUUGGCAGCACACAUACUUAUAAAAAACAAAAAACUGGAAAAACACACAGAAGACUAGCACAGCCCCUGCUGGAGGAUGACACACAAAUUCAUGACGUGUUCCAUAUAAUU
Molecule: small nuclear RNA, 111 nt
Filed under: Phocoena sinus (vaquita)
Lineage: Eukaryota; Metazoa; Chordata; Mammalia; Artiodactyla; Phocoenidae
Source: RNAcentral